UACACAUGGUAUCUGCUUUUCAGCUUGAAGC
RNAcentral lists this non-coding RNA (31 nucleotides) under Mus musculus (house mouse). Lineage: Eukaryota; Metazoa; Chordata; Mammalia; Rodentia; Muridae. The record is from RNAcentral.